Molecule: long non-coding RNA, 3267 nt
Organism: Triticum aestivum (bread wheat)
Lineage: Eukaryota; Viridiplantae; Streptophyta; Magnoliopsida; Poales; Poaceae
Exons: 3
Source: RefSeq, a predicted model, not a curated record
AUCUCCGUAAGAAAAACUGUUUGCUCAAACAGGUGGAAAGGGAUCGGUGGGGGCUCGAUCUCAUUACAGGGAUGCCGGCGACGCGGCGACACAAGUGGUCCACGAUGGGAUCCAGUGUUCGCUGGUCUUCCCAGUGGAUCGAGCUGAGGCGCUCAAGGCGAUCCAGUGGCGCGCGGCCUUCUCAGUGGAUCCAGCCGAGGCGCUCAAGGUGAUCGAGCGGCGCGCUGCCUUCUCAGUGGAUCCAGCCAAGGCGCGCCAGGGAAUCAUCCUAGGGUUUGGAGUUGGUGACCGAGGAGGAGGCGGCACCGGCGAUGGUGCGCAAGCCGUGCACGAGGCCACAGCGACUCCACAAAGUCUGCUUUGCUCUCCCCGACCCUCGGUGGCGUGCUCUCCGAUCUCCACUCCCUCCUUCUCUCCAUGCUCGCCGCAUCGCUGCCCUCCCCAUCACCAUGGCGACGAUGUUCUAAAGACUCGAUGUCAUUGACCCUCAUCAAGGCAUCUAACAUGGAGCGACCUGUUAAUGUCGUCGACACAUAUUUUCUAUUUGAUCAUGCUCCUGGAAGAACUGAUUUGGAGUGCCAUAUCUACAGUUGAUGUCAUCAAUGAUCCAGUAGCUCAUUUAUAGAAAAUCCUCUAUCUAUUAUGCUCAUCUCUCACGAUGAAAUUUUGGCUCAGAUUUCCUGUCAGGUUUGCCCAGGAAAGCGUUGAAAGAAGACAGAUAAUAUCUUUCAAUAUGCACAUAUCCCCAGAAAGCAAUUUGGUAAUAUCGUAUUUGUUUAUUAGAAUAUGUUUGCACAACUCCAUAAAGUUCUGACCAAUAGUUAGAAGUGAUUAUGAUGAACAUGUGUAGCUGACAAAACAGCUACCCUUGAUGAUUAUUUUACCCCAUCAACCAGGUGAAUGCUAUAUGUACCUGAAGUAUUUGUUCGGGAUGUUUUCUCUCUCUUAUGGACACAAAUAUCUAGCUUCUAAGAACUAAUAAAUAUGCACAUUAUGUUGUACAUAAAAAUGAUAAUGUUUUUAUGAUUGAGCACAUGUAGAUAAAGGAAAUAAUUAUUUCAGAUAAAUCAUUUGUCUUUUAUAGUUAUAAUAUUUAUUACUAUAGAAGCAGAAUCCGAUUUUCUUAUCUAGCUGCAGCAGUGAGAUAAAUCUUGUAUGCACUUGCAUAGUUUAGGUUUUCGUUGUAAUUAUACGUACUAUAUUGUGAUUGUGGUCUUCAUUUUUAUGACUUCUGCUCUUUGUGUCAAUAUACACUUUCCCGGAAUAAAUAUCAAUUAUUUAGUUUUCAUUUUUUUAUCAAGUGAAGCAGCAACACAUCUAUGUUUUUAUCAUCUGGGAUGUUUGGAACUUUAUUAUCAUUGACUGAUUGCGUACCUUUGUUUUCAAACACUGGCUGGGCUCAAGAAUCCUACUUGGCUUAUUUAGAGAAGCAUAUGUAAGCUAUAUUUGAUAAAUGCUCUCAGCCUUAGGUUGCUAACAUUGGAAAGGUGGACAUAUAAUCUGGUCACUUCUUGACUCCGAGGUGGGUUCAGGACAUGGACUCUGCACCCCCUAUCAUAUUCUUAAUCUUUACAAUGAUCUCAUCACUGAUUCAGAUUGCUGCUAGCAAAAAAAAAAUCUAACUAUGUUGUGGUUUGCCAAUAGAGUUAGGCUGUUUGAGAAGAUUGUAAGCUUAUGGAACUGUCUGCCUCUUACAUGCUGCAUGCCAACUUAAUUUUAAACAAAUUAGAUGGUCUCAUAAUUGAUGAUGAAUACUGGAUUCUUGUGGCUCCAUGCUGAUUUUUCUUGAUACUUUUGGGUAGAAUCAAAUAAAUAAAAUAUUCUGACUCCUCCAGUUUAUAUGGUUAUGGUCUGGCUUGAUAGUUCGAUGGUGUACGUGUCUGCUAUAUUCAUUGUUAUACAGUAAUGAUGUACUAAAUCUAUUUCUGCUCCUAAAUUAGAAAAUUUCGGGAGUACUAACAUGAAGUACUAAUACAUUUCAAAAUUACUGACAGUAUAUUUCAUAUCUAAUUCACCAAAUGUUAUCAUAUCAUGUAUUUACUGUUUGGGUUAGUAUCACAAUGAAAAUACUCAUGAUUGUUCUGUCAUAUAGAUUCUUAAAUGGUCUAUAUGGAUUCACUUUCAAAUCACUAACUAUAUUAUUGAGUUCUCAGUCUCGCUUCAGUUGCCGGAUGAUCUUUGGACAUGACAAAAACUGCAUGAGUUUUUCAGCCCAAUUUUCACCCACUUGCUAGAUGUCUAUUGAAUCAGAGAAAUAUGAAAAAUAAGUAACUUGGAUGCUUUUGUCUGGACCUGCUUUACAAUUGAAUGAUUAUUUUGAUAAUUUGUUGUAGCAUGAUGUACGCGUUCUAACUGAAAUAUGGUGACUGAACUGAAGCAAGUUAACUAACUAUAUAUUUAUUUAUCUAGAGGCAAUUGCAUAUUUUGUGUUGUACAAAUUGACAAGCUGCAGGAGUUAGCUGAGGGAAGCUGCAUCUAUUUCUCCCUAAAGAGAAAAACACAUCUAUACUUUGCCAUGGUGCACCACAGUAGCUUAUCCAAGGGCUCUAUGGGCAUCUCCAAUGCUGGGCGCUUGGAGAGGCGCCAGGGAUUUUUUCCUGAUGAUAUCCUGGUCGAUGGGCAGUUGGAGCGGUCAAAUCCUAGCAUCGGACACCAGCGAGCGCAAAAGGUUGCGUUGGACGCUUCCUUCCUUUUCCCCUCGCAUGCGCCGCAUAGUUAGUUUAAUUAGCGUACAAUUAGCGUCCAUGGUUAGCAUCUAGCGUUGGAAGGUCAGGCUCUUAGAUUUUUCUAAUUAAAUACUAUUAAUUUGUUUCCUUCGUAAGCGCCAGGUCAGGCACCUGGCAUUGUAGAUGUCGUAAGAUAGCGUAUGCCUCAGCUUUGCCUCACAUGAAGUCCAUCACAACCGAACACGGUUCUGCUUGUUUCUAGAACUUACAACUACUAAAACUUAUCAUAUCCGCUCCAUUAUUUGGCAACCUAGGCCGAGAAAGCCAUGAUGUUUCCUUUGUGUAUUCUAAAUGGGCUGCUGUGUUGGAUGGAAUAACACAACCUCCUUUUAUUUGCAUGCAAAAGAAACAGAGAGCUUGUUAAGACUUUACGAUUUGUAUUUAACCCAGGACACACUAUGAGCAUAUGACCAUUUUAACAAUAAGUAGUUUCUGUUAAAUAUACUCCUUUAUGAAAUGCUGUUAUGACGUUGGGGGUAAAUUCUUAUGAUGUAACUGUACAUUGUUAGAACACAUGUAUAUCUUGUGCCGAUUGUGAUUA